Molecule: long non-coding RNA, 840 nt
Organism: Arvicola amphibius (Eurasian water vole)
Lineage: Eukaryota; Metazoa; Chordata; Mammalia; Rodentia; Cricetidae
Exons: 3
Source: RefSeq, a predicted model, not a curated record
GCGGAAGGCUACAGCCGGUUCUAGGCCAGCCGGGUCGAAAUAGGCAGCUCAGAGCCAGCGAGGGCUACGUGGCAAGCAAGACGCAAAAGACCAGAGAGACAACAACGUAAAAGGAAACAAAAACCAAUGGAUUUCUUCAAAUUAAUAAAGAUCAAAUUUGACUGGGAGAGACCUCCUGAAAAUCUUGACCAUAGACAUGAAGGAAGAAACAGAAAAACUACAAGACAGGUGACAUAUAGGCCGAUCCCUCUACAUGGGAGCAGCUCUGAGACUAGGUUCCAUGUAGUCUGGGAUGGCACUGAACUUGCUAUCCAUCAGCUGUGCGUCUGAGGAUGAUGCUGAAUUUCUGAUGCUCCUGCCUCCACCUCCUCGGUGCUGGGAUUACAGCAGCCUGCCAAUAUGUCCAGGUCACGUGGGCUGGGGGCCAAAGCCAGGGCUUUGUGCUGCCAGGUGAACACCACCAACUGAGCGAUAUCCCCAGCACCCUUGCACUGACCUCAUCUAAUAUCCACUGAGCAACUACUGGGAUGCAGCACUGUGAUCAAGAGGAAGAGCAGGACCACAUCCUCAGUUUCCCACAGCAACUAUGGCAUCCCCCUUCACAUAAUGCCGGAUGGUAUUUCCAGGGUUCGCCUAUGGGCUCCCUGGACAGAUUUUACCCACAAAGAAGCCUUGCAGUGUUCUGCCAGACUACGAGGAAAGUACUGUUGCCCGGGGUCGGGCUCACUUUGCACUGCUCAUGGGCAUCUCAUCCCUCUCUGGAGAAACAGUAACUAGAACUGGUACAUUUUAUUUUCAAAAGAGAAAAAAAGUUUAGUUCAUCAACGUUUUUUUUAUUUU